This 254-nucleotide ribosomal RNA is filed under the name uncultured bacterium. RNAcentral describes it as "partial 16S ribosomal RNA". It matches the Rfam family "Bacterial small subunit ribosomal RNA", at positions 524 to 776 of the family's 1533-position model. The record is from RNAcentral.
UACGGGGGGAGCAAGCGUUGUUCGGAUUUACUGGGCGUAAAGGGCGCGUAGGCGGCCACCGCAAGUCGACUGUGAAAUCUCCGGGCUUAACCCGGAAAGGUCAGCCGAUACUGCGGGGCUAGAGUGCGGAAGGGGCAACUGGAAUUCUCGGUGUAGCGGUGAAAUGCGUAGAUAUCGAGAGGAACACCAGUGGCGAAAGCGGCUACCUGGCCCAUUCUUGACGCUGAGGCGCGAAAGCUAGGGGAGCAAACGGG